Molecule: long non-coding RNA, 823 nt
Organism: Zonotrichia leucophrys gambelii
Lineage: Eukaryota; Metazoa; Chordata; Aves; Passeriformes; Passerellidae
Exons: 4
Source: RefSeq, a predicted model, not a curated record
UAAUCAUAACCAUGAGUCAUUUUGGAAUUUGAAUCUCUGAAAGUUGAUGGGAAUUUGGGUCCUCAUGGAUUUGAACCAACCUAAAUUUUGGAUACAUCCAGAACCUGUUCAUGCUUCAGUAACAACCAACUAAUUAAAACUUGAAAAGCAUUUUUUAUCUGAGCUCAAUUUAUCUGCCCCAGCUGCAGCAGCUUGCCCUGCAUGAGUUCCUUACCUGGAUCCAUAAGCUGGGGCUGGAGAAGGUGAUUAACAGCCUGUAUUAAGAUGUCCACGCUACAGGAGCCCGAGCUGGGCUGUGGCACCAGCACUGCCCCCCAGCACCCAGCUCCCGUCUGGGGCAAGCCCUGCCCAGCUGAGGGUCAGGGUUGGGUUGGGGUCUCACCGUAGAGCCUGUGGAUGCCCCACACCUCGUCCUGGGAAAUGCUCUUCCUGCCCGUCAGCGUGGCGUUGAUGUGCAUCAGCGCGCGGGGGUUCAGCGAGUGCAUCAGGCCCAGGGCGUGCCCGAUCUCGUGGGCGGCCACGUGCACCAGAUUCUGCACAGAUGUCUCAGAUUUUAACCAGAGAGCUGCUCUGGAGCACCAAGGUUUGAGCACUGAAGCCUCUUGGCAGCAUCCAACACAUGGAUUUUAACAGAAGGAUGAGGCUGAACUAUCCAACAAUUUCACUGAUUCCAGCAAGAAAUGGAAUUUCCACCACUCAGCUGGAGCUCAGGGCAGAGGAACAACAACUUCCAACCCCACAACAAAAUUCCUACUGCCGCUUUCUCAGCUCAGGCCCAUCCCAGGCUGAACUCCAAACCCAGCUCCUCUGUGCUCACCUUUCU